AAAGUUGAAAAGUACUUUGAAGAGAGAGUAAACAGUGCGUGAAACCGCUCAGAGGUAAACGGGUGGAGUUGAACUGCAAACUCUGAGAAUUCAGCUGGUGAGUGUGGUUUGGGCUUGGUCAAAGUGAUUGGCCUGGUGGGUCUGCUCAGCUGCAGGUCCCUGCCUUCGGGUGGGGAUGUGCGAGGCACUUGUCAAGUGUUGCGCGCCCGCAAGGUAACUCGGAUCAGCUCGCCAGUGCACUUUCUCGGAGUGUUCACCACGACCGGCGCUGCUGCCUGUCUGAUGUGGUCAAACCGGUCUUGCAUUGUCCUUGCGGCUCUGCUUGGUCGGGAUGGCAGGUAACUCGUUGGCUUGUGUGCUGGCCUCGGUUGGCAUGCGUUUGGCUUUCGAGCGUAAUCAGCUGGCUAUGUUAGUACUGUGCAGUGCGUCGGAGACGGCGGCUUGUUGUGGGUGUUCGUGCUUGCUCAUUGACGGUUCCGAGUUUGAUUGUUAUGUUGCCUGUCUCUAUAGGCCUGGUAAUAGCUCGGUUCUGCUUGGUGGGCAGUUGCGGAUGCUUUACAUUUCAGGGCCAACAGUCUGUGGUGUAGUGGUAGACUAUCCACCCGACCCGUCUUG
Molecule: ribosomal RNA, 615 nt
Filed under: Digenea sp. amphistome cercaria DB-2022
Lineage: Eukaryota; Metazoa; Platyhelminthes; Trematoda
Description: partial large subunit ribosomal RNA
Source: RNAcentral